AAUGAAGGAUUACAUGUUUGAAAAUAUUGGUUUAGCUAAAAUACUAGUGGUGUUGACAGAUCUUUUUUAAAGGAAAAAAAAUGUGAGGCGUAGACUAGAGCAACAUUGUUUCCCUCAUAUCUCAACUUUUCACCAACUAUAGAUGAAUCUUAUAACCUCCGUAGUUUUACUAGCUGAAAUAUUGCUAGGAAGAGCAUCAUAGACAACUGCUAUAAGUCUCAGCAAAAUUUUUCAAUCAAGCCACUAUUGAAAUUGAUAUUGACCUUAUGCUUUGCUCAAACCACUAUUGGAUGCUCAUACCUUUCUAAUAAAUGCAAUUGGUCAUCACAACAUGCUCUUAGUCUUAGUUUUCCGCCAUUCCUGCUGUUGUUCCCAUUGGUUAUUACCAAAUCAGCAAUUUUCAUGUAUGUACCAAGCAAUUUCAGCCCAAUUUCAUCUAGUCCAAUUUUUUAGACACAUUGGGUCGUGUAGGCAUAAUUGCUUAUGAAAUGAUGACUUUUAUGAGUUUAUGUACUAUGCCAUUAUUUGUACAGGAUAUGCUAACAUCACAUUAUUUUUGGCCAGUGUUUUUAUUGUGCUCUUGAUUGAUGAAUCUUCUGGUAAAUGACUUGUUUUGAAUCAUAUUGCUGCAGUAUUAGAAUUAGCAAGUCUGUUUAUUUCUUUAUAGGACUGGGGACCUGAUGCCCUUAUAACAUUUUCUAUAUAGGAAUGGAGUUAGAUUUGAUGGUAUAGUUUUCAUAUAACCUUUAGCUUUUAUGAGCUCUAACAACUAGGAUAUGCUUUAUUAUUGGACUCUAUUAUAGGUCACAGUUUUUUUAGAUAUAUUAUUUGAAUGAAUGUCAAUAUGAGCUGAGCUUUGAAUUAUAUAUGCUUGUAUAAAUUUGUUACUUAUUUAAAUGCCUCGUAAAGAACCGCUGACUUGGAUUAUGUUAUUGAAUCAUUAUUUUUUACAUAGGUAAGAGCAUUAGUUCUGAUGUUGAUGUUCAUUCAUAAAUUAAGGCUCUAUUUGUUUUGCGAAAAAUAUUUUUUGCAUUUUCUAACAUUUGGGUCACUGAGGAAAAUGGGUCAACGCAAAAUAUUUUCCUGAUCAAAGGGAAAACUAAAUCAUUUUCAAGGAAAAUGACUUUUUCUUCUCAAAAGAGGAAGUCAUUUUUCUGACUUUAACAAUCUAAAAAUGGGAAAACACUUUAUACAUAUAUGACAUAAAUAUAUACCAUUAAUUUA
Molecule: unclassified non-coding RNA, 1224 nt
Filed under: Hevea brasiliensis (rubber tree)
Lineage: Eukaryota; Viridiplantae; Streptophyta; Magnoliopsida; Malpighiales; Euphorbiaceae
Source: RNAcentral